This 503-nucleotide ribosomal RNA is filed under the name uncultured bacterium. RNAcentral describes it as "partial 16S ribosomal RNA". It matches the Rfam family "Bacterial small subunit ribosomal RNA", at positions 30 to 523 of the family's 1533-position model. The record is from RNAcentral.
AUUGAACGCUGGCGGCAGGCUUAACACAUGCAAGUCGAGCGGGGUGAUGGUGCUUGCACUAUCACUUAGCGGCGGACGGGUGAGUAAUGCUUAGGAAUCUGCCUAUUAGUGGGGGACAACAUCUCGAAAGGGAUGCUAAUACCGCAUACGUCCUACGGGAGAAAGCAGGGGAUCACUUGUGACCUUGCGCUAAUAGAUGAGCCUAAGUCGGAUUAGCUAGUUGGUGGGGUAAAAGCCUACCAAGGCGACGAUCUGUAGCGGGUCUGAGAGGAUGAUCCGCCACACUGGGACUGGGACACGGCCCAGACUCCUACGGGAGGCAGCAGUGGGGAAUAUUGGACAAUGGGGGGAACCCUGAUCCAGCCAUGCCGCGUGUGUGAAGAAGGCCUUAUGGUUGUAAAGCACUUUAAGCGAGGAGGAGGCUCUUUUGGUUAAUACCCAAGAUGAGUGGACGUUACUCGCAGAAUGAGCACCGGCUAACUCUGUGCCAGCCGCCGCAGUAA